This 252-nucleotide unclassified non-coding RNA is filed under the name plant metagenome. Its description in RNAcentral is "partial contains small subunit ribosomal RNA and internal transcribed spacer 1". The record is from RNAcentral.
AAGUCGUAACAAGGUUUCCGUAGGUGAACCCUGCAGACGGAAUGACAUUCAAUUAUGUAAACCCGGGAAUUCCGGGUUUCGUGGCAGGUGAGAGCUUGUCGCGGGUCGCGAAGGGAAUAUCAUACACCCUGUGUUAAUUUACCUUUGUUGCUUUGGCGGGCCGUCCGCAAGGCGUCAGCUCCGGCUGACCGCGCCCGCCAGAGGACCCAAACUCUUUUAUCAGUGAUGUCGAGUACUAUAUAAUAGUUAAAA